UCCCUGAAGUCUCAUAUGGUAAAGAAUCUACCUGCAGUGUAGGAGACCCAGGUUCAAUUCCUGGGUUGGGAA
This 72-nucleotide transfer RNA is filed under the name Bos taurus (domestic cattle). It matches the Rfam family "tRNA". Rfam says of the family: Transfer RNA (tRNA) molecules are approximately 80 nucleotides in length. Their secondary structure includes four short double-helical elements and three loops (D, anti-codon, and T loops). Further hydrogen bonds mediate the characteristic L-shaped molecular structure. tRNAs have two regions of fundamental functional importance: the anti-codon, which is responsible for specific mRNA codon recognition, and the 3' end, to which the tRNAs corresponding amino acid is attached (by aminoacyl-tRNA synthetases). tRNAs cope with the degeneracy of the genetic code in two manners: having more than one tRNA (with a specific anti-codon) for a particular amino acid; and 'wobble' base-pairing, i.e. permitting non-standard base-pairing at the 3rd anti-codon position. Lineage: Eukaryota; Metazoa; Chordata; Mammalia; Artiodactyla; Bovidae. RNAcentral also lists the same sequence under 2 other names. The record is from Rfam by way of RNAcentral.